UACGUAGGUGGCAAGCGUUGUCCGGAUUUACUGGGCGUAAAGAGCGCGCAGGCGGUCGUCCAAGUCGCGUGUGAAAGCCCCCGGCUCAACUGGGGAGGGUCACGCGAUACUGGUCGACUCGAAGGCAGGAGAGGGUAGUGGAAUUCCCGGUGUAGUGGUGAAAUGCGUAGAUAUCGGGAGGAACACCAGUGGCGAAGGCGACUACCUGGACUGUUCUUGACGCUGAGGCGCGAAAGCUAGGGGAGCAAACGGG
This 253-nucleotide ribosomal RNA is filed under the name uncultured bacterium. RNAcentral's name for it is "partial 16S ribosomal RNA". It matches the Rfam family "Bacterial small subunit ribosomal RNA", at positions 524 to 776 of the family's 1533-position model. The record is from RNAcentral.